This 449-nucleotide ribosomal RNA is filed under the name uncultured bacterium. RNAcentral's name for it is "partial 16S ribosomal RNA". It matches the Rfam family "Bacterial small subunit ribosomal RNA", at positions 29 to 523 of the family's 1533-position model. The record is from RNAcentral.
AACGAACGCUGGCGGCAGGCUUAACACAUGCAAGUCGAACGAGAUCUUCGGAUCUAGUGGCAGACGGGUAAGGAACACGUGGGAACAUCCCUUUCAGUUCGGAAUAACGUUGGGAAACUAACGCUAAUACCGGAUACGUCCUUCGGGAGAAAGAUUUAUCGCUGAAAGAUUGGCCCGCGUCUGAUUAGCUAGUUGGUGAGGUAACGGCUCACCAAGGCUACGAUCAGUAGCUGAUCUGAGAGGAUGAUCAGCCACAUUGGGACUGAGACACGGCCCAAACUCAUGCGGGAGGCAGCAGUGGGGAAUAUUGGACAGUGGGCGCAAGCCUGAUCCAGCCAUGCCGCGUGAGUGAUGACGGCCUUCGGGUUGUAAAGCUCUUUUGUCCGGGAAGAUAAUGACUGUACCGGAAGAAUAAGCCCCGGCAAACUUCGUGCCAGCCGCCGCCGUAA